GACCCCUUAGCUCAGUGGUAGAGCGUGUGAUUCCAGAAUGAUUUGAAUAAUGAAUCUGGUUGUCCACAAGGUCAAGCGUUCAACUCGCUUAGGGGUCA
Molecule: non-coding RNA, 98 nt
Organism: Armillaria mellea
Lineage: Eukaryota; Fungi; Basidiomycota; Agaricomycetes; Agaricales; Physalacriaceae
Source: the annotation of a GenBank genome assembly